This 4297-nucleotide unclassified non-coding RNA is filed under the name Leishmania donovani. RNAcentral's name for it is "gene:LdHU3.29.2640(CDS-product:MutS-like_protein)". Lineage: Eukaryota; Euglenozoa; Kinetoplastea; Trypanosomatida; Trypanosomatidae. The record is from RNAcentral.
ACGUGGCACGAAUACGCACAUUGUAUGGAUGGGCAGCGGUAGUGCUUGUUGCAUUAGACGUUCACAUAUCCUAUUCUUUCUCCCACCCCUGGGAGUCCUACGGCGCCGCGUGUAUGUGUGUGAUGGGAGGGGGGACCCCUUCCGUGAAACGGUGCACACAGGCGAAGUGCAUCACGUGCGUUCUUUGCUCUUUUACGCACCGCUGUCAUGCAACGCGCUGCUGAUGGUGUUUUCGAGAACACAUAUGAGCGCGGCGCAGUGCAGAGUCGUGGGCAGCUCUCCAGCAACUCUGAUUGCGAAAGUGACGACGAGGAAGAAGACGACGACGUCGACACAUCCGUCAAACCGCCCCCGGCGGAGGUGACGGCGCUAUGCUGGUGCGCUGCCAGCGUCGGUGUCGCUCGCUUCUUGUGUGCUGAGUGCCGCAUCGAGGUCUUCGAGGUGCCAGUGUGCAUGGUGGCGGGUGAAAUCGUGCGACGCAGACGCGGCGGACUCACAACGCCAGCGGCCACGGUCCAGUCACACGCCGGCGGUGCACAGCUCAUAUCGCAUAGAACGCACGGAAACGCCACCGGCAGCCGCGGCGACGUCCGUAUUGUUACUCACGAAGACAUACCACCGAGCUUACUGUGGCUGGUGCGCUAUCUGCAGGUGUAUCAGCCCCAGGUGCUGCUUCCGCACACCGGUAGCGAGGCGCUGGGCGACUUAAUCGCGCUGGUGGCGGAGCAGACGCCAAUGGAAGUGAUCCGGCUAAGCGCCGCGACGGCGUUUUGUGGACCCGAAGCUCUCCCUCGCUUGGCGGCCAUGUACCCUGCACAGGAGCAUGAGCUUGCCGCGCGGUUUCAUGCAGACAGAACGGCAAUGAUGUGUUCCAUGGCGGCACUGCUUCAGUUUGUCGCAGCAGUCCAGUCUAACGUGGCCGAUGUCGUUGAGCGCGAUGUGUUGCAUGCACUCUACCUCGACGAUGCGUGUGCCGAGGCUCUGCAGAUCACUCGCACAGAACGCCAUCCAAGUAGUGGACAAGGCCGCGGACGCGCAAAAGAAGGUCACUCGCUGCGAGGGCUGUUGAGCGCGGCGCAGAGUUCUGUGGGGAGAGCGAUGCUGCGACAGUGGAUCGCCCUUCCCUGCUGCGACGCUGCUGAGAUUGAGACGCGCCAGUCCGUUGUCGCCUUCUUUGUCAACCCCCUGCAUCACGACAUUGCCGCCCGACUGCGCGCUGCCCUGCACAAGGUGUAUUCGACGACUCAUGUUUUCACGCUGAUGCGGUCGGGCCGGGCGCUGCACAAGCACUAUGUGUCACUAUACCAAACUAUGCGGGGAAUCAUUACUGUGCAGGAGCUGCUGGCCACCGUCGCCCAUGAGGUGAGUCGACUGUAUGUGCUGCUGCAGAGCAUCCGUGUGGAGCCGCUGCGGGCCAUGGCGGCCUCCCUCAAUUCGGCGGUGGUCGGGGUUGCAGGACGCCGUCGCGGUGACGGUGUUGGUGGUGGUGCAACAGACGAAAGACAGGAUCGGCAGCCAUAUUACCCCGCUGUCCAGACGACGGCAGCGCUUUUCUCUUUUGACUACGGCGUGCCCAAUGCUGUGUGCAUCCGUGACGGUGUGGACACGGUACUUGACGAGCUGCGCGCCCGCUUUCGCGAUCUGCGGCUGUCUCUCCAGGCCAAAGCAGAGGCUGCUUUCGCAGAGCUUCCGUGGACGCUGCGGGCAAGGCUCUCUCUGCGCUGCGUGUACACAGUGCCACACGGGUAUUUGCUAUGCGUUCCAGCUGCGGAGCUAGAAGCACUGUUGCCAGUCAAAGACGCGACCGACGUGGACGACCUGGGCGGUGAGAGACGUGAUGACGAUGCAGGAGAGCCGGCGUCGUGGCGCAGCGACGACGCAGAUAACGAGACCGCUGACCCACAAAGUAGCGAUGCUGAACUGCGUCCUCCUAGGGUGGCUGCCACCUCGCCUUCGUUGUCGCCUGCCGAGCGAGCCCGCUCCGUGAUGGCAGACUCCUUCGGCUGGCGGCUUCAUCACGCAACAGAUGCUGGCGAAUGCUGCUUCAAGUCCGCAGCGAUGGAGGAGCUGGACACCUGGGUGGGCGACCUGCAGCGGCGCGUGCAGCAGCGCGAGGAGCAGGUCCGCCGCGAGCUGGACACGUCGCUUCUGUACAACUCUCUCCACCUGCUGCGACCCACUCGCGCGCUGGGGGAGUUGGACUGCCUGCUGAGCUUUGCUCGCGUGUCGGCGCAGGAGGGGUGGUGUCGGCCAGAGAUUGUGGCGCCGGGCGCUGGCUGUGCUGCGCCACAUGACAAGACAGGGGAGGAGGCCGACGAGGGCAUCCUCGAGAUCGAGGAUGGCUGGCACCCGCUUCUCUCUCGACACGUGGGCAUGCAACAGCUCGUUCCGUUUUCGCUCCACCUCCGCACCUCGACAGACCGUGUUUGUUUGGUGCUUGGCGUCAACGGCAGCGGCAAGUCGGUGCUCAUGGGGGCCGUGGCGCACAUCGUGUUUCUCGCUCAUUUGGGGUGCCACGUGCCAGCGGUCACAGCACGGCUGAGCCUCGUCAACAGCAUUUUCGCGCCAUCGUCUUCUGUAUGUGCACCGUCCUCCUCCGCACCACCGUGUUCGGCCUGGUCGGCUGCUGACGUAGCCGCAGCGGCGCCGGGUAGCUUCUACGGCGAGUGCGUGGCGCUUCAUCGUGUGUUGCAUUUUGUCGCUGGCCAGCAGCGCGCACGCCAGGCAUUUCACGGCAACGCCCUCGAUGGCUGCCACAUGGGAGGGCGGGCACUUGUGCUGCUCGACGAGUUUGGACGCGGUACCUCCCCGGAGGAUGGAUGUGCCCUACUGAAGGCGACUCUGCGGUACUUCGCGGACGGAGGGGAGGGCUGCGGUGGUAGGCAGCACGACAGCCCCGGUGCGCCGCUCGUCCUCUGCGCUACUCAUCUUGUCGAAAUGCUGGACCUACCGGGGCAAUGCGCCGCACCUGAGUUUCCUACCCUCAGCGACGCCUGUGACUGCGGAGCAGCGGCGGUGGUGGCUCAAAGUGAUCAAGGCGCUGCUGCGGAACGCACAGACCCCGCUGCCGCGGGUGUGCCUGCGUCUAGUGAAACCUCAGCUCACGAAAACCAGCGCGGGGCCGACCCUCUCUCUCACACAGCAGACACCCCGCUUCCCCUGGAGUGGGUGAAGAUUUACGAGAUGGAGACUCACGCAACUUACGCCACCGAUCAAGAUGGCCUGACUAGUAUCGAAAGCCUACGUGCCGGCAAUGAUAAGCCGAUCUCACCGCUGGCCGCAGGCGAUAGCGGCGCCCCAUUGCCACUGGACGUGACCCCGACGUACCAGCCUGUCUGCCUUACGCCUCACCCCGGACCGCGCCGACAGCAAGACUGGGAACAGCAUUGCAGUAUCCAUCUGGGUGCCGGGCCCGCCAUUGGGCGUCAGUGCGGCCUUGAUGAGGAGCUGCUAAGUUACUGGGAGGAGACCCUGCGCGUGCUGCAUCGCUUGCCAUGACGCUUCGUGUGCGUCGCUUGCCGUCCUCGGGUGUGUCGUGCGAGUGCGACGGAGGACUCACACACACACCCCUUCCCCAUCUCCGCGUUCAUCAGCAGGGUGCCAUCCGCGCCCUCAUUCGCCGGCUUCUCUUUUCUUCUCGUCCACUGAAGCGGUCCGUCGGGCGCUUUGGUUUCCCGCCAACACGCGUGUUAGCCCGCUUCUUCGGUUUAUUCUUUUUUGUUGGUGUUGCUGUUGGUGCUUCUUACGUGCGGCGAAUGCUUCAGCGCAUCGCUGCCCCCCUCCCCCUUCCUCCCCUCCCCCUUCCUCCCCUCCCCGACCAUCAUCUCCUUUGUCCCUCCUUCCCUCUCUGUAUAAUAUCUGCUCUUCUCCCCCUCCGCUGGUGCCAAAAAGCCCACCAUGUCUCCCACGACCGACCCCCGCGCGUGUGUCGUAGUACAACCAGACAAUGGACAAGAAAUUUCUGAGAACAUGCACACGAGUAACAGCCACCGAGUGUGUACCUCAUCAAGCUUUUCUCUCACGCAUGAAAUCUUGUGUGUGUGUGCAUCCCGCGCACACACCAGCUGCCAGGGAGGGGAGCGGGCAAGGCAUGCUUCAGUACACGACAGGAGGUGCACAAAUGCCUGUUCUGCUCUAUUGUCGCUCUGUUGUACCGUGUCUUCCACGUGCGACUCUCGCUCUCCCUCGUUCCUCGUUUUCACCAUCCCCGUCUUCUGCAACUUUUUCGCCUUCUUUUUUUUUCGAAACUGUUCUUCCGCGCCCUCUCCCUCGACCUACGCUACCUGUACGACUUUAG